This 497-nucleotide ribosomal RNA is filed under the name uncultured bacterium. Its description in RNAcentral is "partial 16S ribosomal RNA". It matches the Rfam family "Bacterial small subunit ribosomal RNA", at positions 28 to 507 of the family's 1533-position model. The record is from RNAcentral.
GACGAACGCUGGCGGCGUGCCUAAUACAUGCAAGUAGAACGCUGAAGAGAGGAGCUUGCUCUUCUUGGAUGAGUUGCGAACGGGUGAGUAACGCGUAGGUAACCUGCCUUGUAGCGGGGGAUAACUAUUGGAAACGAUAGCUAAUACCGCAUAACAAUGGAUGACACAUGUCAUUUAUUUGAAAGGGGCAAUUGUUCCACUACAAGAUGGACCUGCGUUGUAUUAGCCAGUAGGUGAGGUAAUGGCUCACCUAGGCGACGAUACAUAGCCGACCUGAGAGGGUGAUCGGCCACACUGGGACUGAGACACGGCCCAGACUCCUACGGGAGGCAGCAGUAGGGAAUCUUCGGCAAUGGGGGCAACCCUGACCGAGCAACGCCGCGUGAGUGAAGAAGGUUUUCGGAUCGUAAAGCUCUGUUGUAAGUCAAGAACGGGUGUGAGAGUGGAAAGUUCACACUGUGACGGUAGCUUACCAGAAAGGGACGGCUAACUACGUG